AUGUUACUUGGGGGGGACUUCAAUAUUCUGCGGUAUAGGCAGGAUAAAAACAAUGAUAGGUUCAACACUCGAUGGCCCUUUCUUUUUAAUGCGGUCAUUGACAGUCUUGAUCUGCGGGAACUCUCCCUCUCGGGGCGUCAAUUUACCUGGGCCAACAAUAGAUCUACCCCGACUUUCGAAAAACUCGAUCGGGUCCUAGUCACUACAGACUGGGAAUUUAAAUAUCCAUUAGCAUCAGUAAGAGCUUUGGAGAGAAUUGAGGCCUUAUCGGACCAUGCUCCUUUGCUCACUGAUUUUGGCCAACCUGCUACCACGUCGAGCCGCCAUCAGUUUAAAUUUGAACUGGGGUGGCUCACUAGAGAGGGCUUCCCGGAUUUGGUUAAAAAGGUGUGGUUACGCCCAACACGGGGCGAUACACCGAUUCAGUGUUGGAACAAUCGCAUUAGGGCGUUGCGCCAAUUCCUCCGUGGCUGGGCUAAACAUACCGCCGGGAUUUAUAAGAAAGAGAAGCUGCGACUAUCCGUCUUGAUAGACUCCUUAGAUAAAACCGUGGAGGUGAGGCCUUUAUCUGCGGACGAGAUUGAACAAAAAAGUCAUCUCAAUGAGCAGCUAGCCCGCCUCUUACGCGAAGAGGAGAUCAAAUGGUACCAACGGUGCAAGACUGACUCGUUGGUACUUGGGGAUGAUAACACGAAGUACUUCCAAAUGUUAGCCAAUGGUAGACAUAGAAAGAAACGAAUUUUCACCCUGGAU
Molecule: ribosomal RNA, 753 nt
Filed under: Triticum aestivum (bread wheat)
Lineage: Eukaryota; Viridiplantae; Streptophyta; Magnoliopsida; Poales; Poaceae
Description: partial small subunit ribosomal RNA
Source: RNAcentral